ACGUAGGGCGCAAGCGUUGUCCGGAAUUAUUGGGCGUAAAGAGCUCGUAGGCGGUUUGUCGCGUCUGCCGUGAAAUCCUCAGGCUUAACCUGGGGCGUGCGGUGGGUACGGGCAGGCUAGAGUGCGGUAGGGGAGAUUGGAAUUCCUGGUGUAGCGGUGGAAUGCGCAGAUAUCAGGAGGAACACCGAUGGCGAAGGCAGAUCUCUGGGCCGCUACUGACGCUGAGGAGCGAAAGCAUGGGGAGCGAACAGGA
This 253-nucleotide ribosomal RNA is filed under the name uncultured prokaryote. RNAcentral describes it as "partial 16S ribosomal RNA". It matches the Rfam family "Bacterial small subunit ribosomal RNA", at positions 525 to 777 of the family's 1533-position model. The record is from RNAcentral.